Molecule: long non-coding RNA, 538 nt
Organism: Apodemus sylvaticus (European woodmouse)
Lineage: Eukaryota; Metazoa; Chordata; Mammalia; Rodentia; Muridae
Exons: 2
Source: RefSeq, a predicted model, not a curated record
GAGAAAACCCCAGAAAGGGAGGCGUAACAGACCUUACUUUCCUUCGCACGGUUGGGGAAAAUGAGGCUUUCUUCCCCCAAGUAAGGUUUACUCAUCAAAAUUACAUUCUCUGGUUGCUGGUGUUGUGAGAGACGAAUAUUCACAAGAAUUCCUGGAAAGCAACCGUGUCUGCAAAGACUGAUUGGAAGUGCCGUAAGUUGGAGAGAGAGGAAUGUUGCCGGAGGUUCGCCUUAGCUCAGCUCGCUCUAAGCCCCCUGAACAGCCAUUCCUUGAGCAGACCCUAGCUGCCCAACCCAAAAGCAAUCAUCAGAUAACACCUGACUCCUGUAGCAAAGCUUCCGCCAUCUUGCUGUAACUGUCUCUGCGAUGCACCCACAAAGGUAUUUUAAGCUUGGCUUGAUUUAUGACUUUGUUCCGUGAAAAUUUAAAACUUUGUAAAGCUACUUCCACAUUGGAACAUGCAGUUUAGGGUAACCUAAAUCUAUAUACCUGGGACAUGGUCACUCAAGUAUGGCUCAAAAAUAAACAAAAAAAAUUU